This is a non-coding RNA of Xyrichtys novacula (pearly razorfish), 1045 nucleotides long. The record is from the annotation of a GenBank genome assembly. Lineage: Eukaryota; Metazoa; Chordata; Actinopteri; Labriformes; Labridae.
CACCUAACUUCAUCAACAGGACAUAUAGGGUCACAGACAUAGUACUAUAUUCAGAGUUGUUCUAACUCCUAAGAAAACAAACUUAAGCGGGGGCGUUUCUCCACCUCUGUAGUCUAUAAACUGGGCCAAUAAACUUCUACUGUAGUAAAAUGAAAAGGUAAAGGUGUUUUUAUUGAGCCGAAUUAUCAAUAAAAUCAUGAUUUUGUUAACAGGUAUGGAUUUAUGUGCUGUUGAGUUAAUAUAUUUGAACAAGAGCACAGUAAAGUUAAAUCAGCUAAUUUUCCAAUGAGGUUCUGUUACUGAACGGAACUACACCAUGAUCUACUGAGGUUAGUACAUAUAGGGUCACAGACAUAGUACUAGACACCAAACAUCUUUUUAACUUUGACUCAUUUCUUUAGCAAAGAGACUAAACACAACUCACCUACUCUCUUCCAGCAGACGCUUGUUUGUAGAGAGACCUCAGGCCAGUCCAUUACAGACUACAGCGGGGUGACGCAGCUCAAGGAAGAACAUUUAUGAUCAUUUCUUUAUCAUUUCCUUGAAGUAAUAAUCACCAUAUUAAUCAUUUUACAGACGCGGUAGUUCUUCUGUCUUAGCGUCUCGGUCUGAUUGUAUUUCCAUGAAGAAAUGAUCAUAAAUGUUCUUCCUUGAGCUGCGUCACCCCGCUGUAGUCUGUAAUGGACUGGCCUGAGGUCUCUCUACAAACAAGCGUCUGCUGGAAGAGAGUAGGUGAGUUGUGUUUAGUCUCUUUGCUAAAGAAAUGAGUCAAAGUUAAAAAGAUGUUUGGUGUCUAGUACUAUGUCUGUGACCCUAUAUGUCCUGUUGAUGAAGUUAGGUGCUGUUCUGAGCAUUAUUUGUGGCUAUAGAGUGGCGUUUUGGUUGGGGGCGUGUCUCUCUGUAUUUCUAUCCUGCGGUCGUUACUAAAGUUGGUAUAACUAGAGAAGGAAGCGGUCGACAACAUUCAUCUCUGGAGGGGGGGUCUAACUCGGUGUUAUGGUGGGUUUGACCCUAAAUUAAUUUUACAUCAGAAUAUCCCUUUAAA